GAAAUUCCCUCCUUCAAUUGAAGACCUCCAGGACUACCAGCGGUACCAUGAGGGCAGCUGCCCCCCUUCCAAGCAGCUGGAAAAUGCACAGUCCAAAGUGUCGAGGGUCAGGUCUUUUAUAUUUUACCUGGCUAAGGGACAUACUGUAUUGUUCAGUUUGCUAUUUUAAGGAACAUUGAUGGCAUCCAAAAAUACACAGCCCACCUCCAGUCCCCAGGCAAGACCAUCACAACGGCACAUUUCUACCUGAGAACCAUACAGCAGUUCCUCAAAUACUUUCGGGAAACCCUGCC
Long non-coding RNA from Perca fluviatilis (European perch), 293 nucleotides. RefSeq lists it as uncharacterized. The transcript has 3 exons. NCBI's taxonomy places the organism in Eukaryota, Metazoa, Chordata, Actinopteri, Perciformes, Percidae. The record is from RefSeq and is a predicted model, not a curated record.